This 1326-nucleotide ribosomal RNA is filed under the name metagenome. RNAcentral describes it as "bacterial LSU rRNA". It matches the Rfam family "Bacterial large subunit ribosomal RNA", at positions 1561 to 2925 of the family's 2925-position model. The record is from RNAcentral.
AGUGGAUGGGGAGCAACCUAGUUGUGCGUGUGUAAAGGUAGUGCCAAGAAAAGCGAUGAUCAUGUUGAAAAUCAAUUCCCGGUACCCGAAACCGACACAGGUGGGCAAGUAGAGAAUACUAAGGGGCGCGAGGUAACUCUCUCCAAGGAACUCGGCAAAAUGACCCCGUAACUUAGGGAGAAGGGGUGCCACCGAGAGGUGGUCGCAGUGAAGAGGCCCAGGCGACUGUUUAGCAAAAACAUAGGUCUCUGCAAACUCGAAAGAGGAGGUAUAGGGGCUGACGCCUGCCCAGUGCCGGAAGGUUAAAGAAGUUGGUCAGUCUUAGGAUGAGGCUAGCGACUGAAGCCCCGGUGAACGGCGGCCGUAACUAUAACGGUCCUAAGGUAGCGAAAUUCCUUGUCGGGUAAGUUCCGACCCGCACGAAAGGCGUAACGAUCUGGGCGCUGUCUCGGAGAGAGGCUCGGCGAAAUAGGAUUGUCUGUGAAGAUACGGACUACCUGCAUUUGGACAGAAAGACCCUAUGAAGCUUUACUAUAGCUUGGAAUUGUGUUCGGGCUUCCUGUGCGCAGGAUAGGUGGGAGGCGUAGAAGGUAUUCUUGUGGGGAUACUGGAGCCAACGGUGAGAUACCACUCUCAGGAGGCUAGAAUUCUAACUUAAUUAAGGACAGUUUCAGGUGGGUAGUUUGACCGGGGCGGUCGCCUCCAAAAAGGUAACGGAGGCGUACAAAGGCUCCCUCAGACUGGUUGGAAAUCAGUCGAAGAGUGCAAAGGCAGAAGGGAGCUUGACUGCGAGAAGUACAGUUCGAGCAGGGUGGAAACACGGUCUUAGUGAUCCGACGGUGCUGUGUGGAAGGGCCGUCGCUCAACGGAUAAAAGUUACUCUAGGAUAACAGGCUGAUCUCCCCCAAGAGUUCACAUCGACGGGGAGGUUUGGCACCUCGAUGUCGGCUCAUCGCAACCUGGGGCGGAAGUACGUCCCAAGGGUUGGGCUGUUCGCCCAUUAAAGCGGUACGUGAGCUGGGUUCAGAACGUCGUGAGACAGUUCGGUCCAUAUCCGAUGUAGGCGUGAGAAUAUUGAGAGGAGCCUUCCUUAGUACGAGAGGACCGGGAAGGACGCACCGCUGGUGUACCUGUUAUGAUGCCAAUUGUAAACGCAGGGUAGCCAAGUGCGGAGAGGAUAACCGCUGAAAGCAUCUAAGUGGGAAGCCCACCUCAAGAUGAGUAUUCUGGUGUAAGGUCACGGGAAGACGACCCGUAAAUAGGCACGAGGUGGAAGUGCAGAGAUGUAUGAAGCCGAAGUGUACUAAUAGACCGUCGGCUUGACCU